CUGGGAAGGGUGGGGUGGUCAUGAAGUCCUGAGAGAGCAGAGGGACACACCAACUUCUCUUGUUGGUUCCCUCAACCCUGCCCAUACCUAUGGGUAAUCAGAGAUGGAUUCAGUCUCCAGUUAGGAUCCUCAUCAAGGUAUUUGUAUGGGGGAUUCCAUGCAGAUGGUGUAUAGAGAGAAGAUAGACACAAGGGAUCUUCAUAGCCAAGGACUGGAUUUGAACAAGUCAGUCUCCAGCUAUGUUUUAGACACUGAGGACUGUGCCCGUCAUCCCUUAGAGCUUCUCUCUGGGCCACUGGCUCGAAGGGCACAUCUCAGGGAAAAAGAACCCAGAAUUCACAACGGAACAUCAACAUAUCCAAAAGACAAGUUUCAAUGAACAGAUUCUCAGCAAAAGGACUCUAAGGAUGCAGAGGAAGGGAAGUCACCCAAUCUGGGAAGGAGAUUACUCAGUCUCGGGUAUGUGUAUCAGCAAUGUGAAAACGGACUAGUACAUCUCUAGAGGCACAUGCCAUGUGGUCCAGCCAUAAUUAUUUGUUGUCACAACUAAGUUUCCUUUCUAUAUGAAAAGAUUAUAUUGAUC
RNAcentral lists this long non-coding RNA (583 nucleotides) under Homo sapiens (human). Its description in RNAcentral is "non-protein coding lnc-SDSL-6:8". Lineage: Eukaryota; Metazoa; Chordata; Mammalia; Primates; Hominidae. The record is from RNAcentral.